Arachis ipaensis is the source of this 1309-nucleotide non-coding RNA. Lineage: Eukaryota; Viridiplantae; Streptophyta; Magnoliopsida; Fabales; Fabaceae. The record is from RefSeq and is a predicted model, not a curated record.
CUUCGUCCUUCGCCCUUCACCUUCGUCACUGUUCGCCUUCUUCUUCAUCUUCUUAAUCUUCAUCUUCUUCUUCAUACUCUUCAUACUCUUCAUCUCUCUGUUCACCUUCAAGCUCUACCAACAUGGGCGACGGCAAGGUAUCCGCAACGGUCUCUUCUCCUCCAAGCCCUCCGAUCCCAAAGGUGGUGCUCUAAAGCCAACAGAUAUUGACACAUUAUGAGUUCAUGUCACUUGUGCUUGGUUUCGGCCUGAAGUGGCUUUUGCUAGUGAUGAGAAGAUGGAGCCUGCUUUGGGUAUUCUUAGUAUUCCGUCAAGUUCUUUUGUUAAGAUUCGUGUUAUUUGUAAGCAAAUUCAUGGUUCAUGCACACAAUGUUGCAAGUGUUCUACUUAUUUCCAUGCCAUGUGUGCAUCUAGGGCUGGCUACUGAAUGGAGGGCUCCCAAUCCAGACACUAUUUUGAUUAUGCAAACCCCCCUUGGGGUCAUUUCAACUAAAAGUCUUCUACAAACUAAGAAAAAAACGGGUUCCAGGCUAAUUUCCUCUAGAAGAACAAAGAUUAUGAAGAGCUUGGGCACGAUGGUAACAGAACAGUUGCUAAUGGUGUUGACAAGGAAGGGCCAGUGCUUUCAAAGCUUUGUUCAAGUUCCACAACUGAGCUUCACCCCAAAAAUGGAGCUCAAGGUGAGUCCAAACCAACCAACAUGCCACCUACUAGUGUUAUGACAAGACUCAUCUUGAUCAUGGUUUGGAGGAAGCUGAUUAGGAAUCCCAACACUUACUCUAGCCUAAUUGGCCUCACAUGGUCUUUGAUCUCAUUCAAGGUCACACAUUGCUGCAAAGAGCAGCACUAACUACUUUUCCUUUCAAUUUCACCUCUAAUGGCACCACCACAACCCUAACUCUCUCUAUCUUUUGAUGCCACCAAAGUCUUCCUCAUGAACACCUCAGAUUCAUUCCCACUUACACCAACACGGGACCCUCGCCACGUGUUGAUGUCAAUAACAACCAGUUACAACAAGGAGAGCAAGAUGAUCUAGAGGUCCGCGUUGAGAAGAUUAUAUAUAGAUGCCGCUUUUUGGCUACUUUUGGAGUCUUUGGUUAUUUAAUUGUGGAAAUUAAUCGUGAAUCGGGUGACGACAUUUUGUACUAUUUAAAGAAUUUUAUUUUUGUUGUUAGUUGAUAGAGGACAAGCAUAGAAUUUAUUAUAUAUAACGUGACUUGUAAUUUUGAACUCUUAAAUUCCUUCUGUUCUUUUAUUCAUAUAAAGAGUUCCCUAGUGUUUUCUUUCUCCGUGGGACAUAUAUAUGGAG